RNAcentral lists this ribosomal RNA (729 nucleotides) under Triticum aestivum (bread wheat). RNAcentral's name for it is "partial small subunit ribosomal RNA". The record is from RNAcentral. Lineage: Eukaryota; Viridiplantae; Streptophyta; Magnoliopsida; Poales; Poaceae.
ACAUGGGACUCAGUAUGGAACUUAGUCCGCCCAGCAAAGAUAAAAAUAUUUAUGUGGCGCGUGCUCCAGAGUGCUAUUCCAUGUCGAUCUAUCCUGGCUAAUAAGCACUUGAAAAUAAAUCCGAGUUGCCCAGCCUGUAACCAGGGGCCUGAUUACAUAAGACAUAUGUUGUUCGAAUGCAAAUUGGCAAUGGACGUGUGGAAGAUGCUCGGUCUUGAGCUUGUUAUCAAACAGGCACUAAAAGAUGACAAGGCGGGCAAGCUUGUGUUGGCACAUCUUUUGUGCCUUCCAGAACAACAAAUCCAAGUGUUGGGCUUGCCGAAGUUCAGAGAAAUGAUGGCAACAACGGCUUGGUAUUUGUGGUAUGAAAGGCGAAAAUUGACACAUGACGAAGAAACUCAAAGCGCAUGUCAAAUCAAUAUGUCAGUGAGAGGCUUAGUAGCAAAUUAUACCAUCUCUUAUAGCCCAAAGGCUCACGUCCGUUCAGAUGCUUGGUUGAAACCAAAGUAUGGUUACGUGAAAUUAAAUGUUGACGCGGGAUUUGAUAGUGACACACUCGCAGCAACAUUUGGAGCAGUUAUCCGGGACCAUAGGGGGAAAUUUAUAGCGGCUGCUAAUGAAAAGAUGGACCUUUGCUUCGACUAUUGGAAAUAUAACCUAGAGUCAAUAAUAAAAGGAUUAUUAUUAUAUUUCCUUGUUCAUGAUAAUUGUCUUUUAUUCAUGCUAUAA